Molecule: ribosomal RNA, 619 nt
Filed under: Staphylococcus aureus
Lineage: Bacteria; Bacillati; Bacillota; Bacilli; Caryophanales; Staphylococcaceae
Description: partial 23S ribosomal RNA
Rfam family: Bacterial large subunit ribosomal RNA
Source: RNAcentral
CACUGCCGAGAAAAGCCUCUAGAUAGAAAAUAGGUGCCCGUACCGCAAACCGACACAGGUAGUCAAGAUGAGAAUUCUAAGGUGAGCGAGCGAACUCUCGUUAAGGAACUCGGCAAAAUGACCCCGUAACUUCGGGAGAAGGGGUGCUCUUUAGGGUUAACGCCCAGAAGAGCCGCAGUGAAUAGGCCCAAGCGACUGUUUAUCAAAAACACAGGUCUCUGCUAAACCGUAAGGUGAUGUAUAGGGGCUGACGCCUGCCCGGUGCUGGAAGGUUAAGAGGAGUGGUUAGCUUCUGCGAAGCUACGAAUCGAAGCCCCAGUAAACGGCGGCCGUAACUAUAACGGUCCUAAGGUAGCGAAAUUCCUUGUCGGGUAAGUUCCGACCCGCACGAAAGGCGUAACGAUUUGGGCACUGUCUCAACGAGAGACUCGGUGAAAUCAUAGUACCUGUGAAGAUGCAGGUUACCCGCGACAGGACGGAAAGACCCCGUGGAGCUUUACUGUAGCCUGAUAUUGAAAUUCGGCACAGCUUGUACAGGAUAGGUAGGAGCCUUUGAAACGUGAGCGCUAGCUUACGUGGAGGCGCUGGUGGGAUACUACCCUAGCUGUGUUGGCUUUCU